CUUAGAGUUUGAUCCUGGCUCAGGAUGAACGCUAGCGGCAGGCCUAAUACAUGCAAGUCGAACGGUAAGUGUAGUAGCAAUAUUAUACGAGAGUGACGUACGGGUGCGUAACACGUAUGCAACCUACCCUUUACAGGAGGAUAGCUCGGGGAAACUCGAAUUAACCCUCCAUGAUAUAAUGAUGUGGCAUCACGUUAUUAUUAAAACUCUGGUGGUAAAGGAUGGGCAUGCGUCUGAUUAGUUAGUUGGUGCGGGUAACGGCCCACCAAGACGAUGAUCAGUAGGGGAACUGAGAGGUUGAUCCCCCACACUGGCACUGAGAUACAGGCCAGACUCCUACGGGAGGCAGCAGUAGGGAAUAUUGGUCAAUGGAUGGAAGUCUGAACCAGCCAUGCCGCGUGCAGGAAGAAGGCCUUCUGGGUUGUAAACUGCUUUUGCCAGGGGAUAAAAAGACCGUGCGCGGUUAAUUGAAGGUACCUGGUGAAUAAGCCACGGCUAACUACGUGCCAGCAGCCGCGGUAAUACGUAGGUGGCAAGCGUUGUCCGGAUUUAUUGGGUUUAAAGGGUGCGUAGGCGGCCCUGUAAGUCAGUGGUGAAAUAUCUCAGCUUAACUGAGAGGGUGCCAUUGAUACUGCGGGGCUUGAGUACAGAUGAGGUAGGCGGAAUUGACGGUGUAGCGGUGAAAUGCAUAGAUAUCGUCAAGAACACCGAUAGCGAAGGCAGCUUACUAAGCUGUAACUGACGCUGAGGCACGAAAGUGUGGGGAUCAAACAGGAUUAGAUACCCUGGUAGUCC
RNAcentral lists this ribosomal RNA (795 nucleotides) under uncultured bacterium. RNAcentral describes it as "bacterial SSU rRNA". It matches the Rfam family "Bacterial small subunit ribosomal RNA", at positions 1 to 796 of the family's 1533-position model. The record is from RNAcentral.